This 253-nucleotide ribosomal RNA is filed under the name uncultured prokaryote. Its description in RNAcentral is "partial 16S ribosomal RNA". It matches the Rfam family "Bacterial small subunit ribosomal RNA", at positions 523 to 775 of the family's 1533-position model. The record is from RNAcentral.
AUACGUAGGGGGCAAGCGUUGUCCGGAUUUAUUGGGCGUAAAGAGCGUGUAGGCGGCCAUGCAGGUCCGUUGUGAAAACUCGAGGCUCAACCUCGAGCUGUCGAUGGAAACCGUAUGGCUAGAGUCCGGAAGAGGAGAGUGGAAUUCCUGGUGUAGCGGUGAAAUGCGCAGAUAUCAGGAAGAACACCCGUGGCGAAGGCGGCUCUCUGGGACGGUACUGACGCUGAGACGCGAAAGCGUGGGGAGCGAACAG